This 408-nucleotide ribosomal RNA is filed under the name uncultured bacterium. Its description in RNAcentral is "bacterial SSU rRNA". It matches the Rfam family "Bacterial small subunit ribosomal RNA", at positions 46 to 500 of the family's 1533-position model. The record is from RNAcentral.
GCCUAAUACAUGCAAGUCGAACGCAGUAGCAAUACUGAGUGGCAGACGGGUGAGUAUAAUGUGGGAAUAUGCCUUUUGGUUUGGAAUAACACGGGGAAACUUGUGCUAAUACCAAAUAAGCCCUUACGGGGAAAGUUUUAAUGCCGAAAGAUGAGCCCGCACUUGAUUAGCUAGUUGGUAAGGUAAAAGCUUACCAAGGCAACGAUCAAUAGCUGUUCUUAGAGGAAGACCAGCCACAUUGGGACUGAGACACGGCCCAGACUCCUACGGGAGGCAGCAGUGGGGAAUCUUGCACAAUGGGGGAAACCCUGAUGCAGCGAUGCCGCGUGAGUGAAGAAGGCCCUUGGGUUGUAAAACUCUUUCGUCGGGGAAGAAAAUGACUGUACCCGAAUAAGAAGGUCCGGCUAA